AACAACUCUCAGCAACGGAUAUCUUGGCUCUUGCAACGAUGAAGAACGCGCAGAAUUCCGCGAAUCAUCGAGUCUUUGAACGCAAGUUGCGCCCGAGGCUUGUCCGAGGGCAUUUCCGCUAGAGCGUCACCGCGCCCCCCACCGAUCCA
Molecule: ribosomal RNA, 149 nt
Filed under: Oxyrrhynchium speciosum
Lineage: Eukaryota; Viridiplantae; Streptophyta; Bryopsida; Hypnales; Brachytheciaceae
Description: 5.8S ribosomal RNA
Rfam family: 5.8S ribosomal RNA (bases 4-129)
About the family: 5.8S ribosomal RNA (5.8S rRNA) is a component of the large subunit of the eukaryotic ribosome.
Source: RNAcentral